RNAcentral lists this ribosomal RNA (430 nucleotides) under uncultured bacterium. Its description in RNAcentral is "bacterial SSU rRNA". It matches the Rfam family "Bacterial small subunit ribosomal RNA", at positions 355 to 776 of the family's 1533-position model. The record is from RNAcentral.
UGAGGAAUAUUGCGCAAUGGGGGAAACCCUGACGCAGCGACGCCGCGUGGGUGAUGAAGGCCUUCGGGUUGUAAAGCCCUGUCAGGUGGGAAGAAGUGCAUAGUGGCUAAUAUCCAUUAUGUUUGACGGUACCACCAAAGGAAGCACCGGCUAACUCCGUGCCAGCAGCCGCGGUAAUACGGAGGGUGCAAGCGUUGUUCGGAUUUACUGGGCGUAAAGGGCGCGUAGGCGGUCUUAUAAGCCAGAUGUGAAAGCCCACGGCUCAACCGUGGAAGUGCAUCUGGAACUGUGAGACUUGAGUAUGGGAGAGGAAAGUGGAAUUCCCGGUGUAGAGGUGAAAUUCGUAGAUAUCGGGAGGAAUACCGGUGGCGAAGGCGACUUUCUGGACCAAUACUGACGCUGAGGCGCGAAAGCGUGGGUAGCAAACAGG